UCUGUAUUCACUAAACCACCAAUGUUAAACCAGGAGAAAUAUUUAUAAAGAAACUUCAUGCAGAGAGGACUGGCUAAAUAAGAGAGACUGAACAGCAGCAGACCUUUCAAGAGGUCUCAGAAGACCCUACUACAUUGUAUAUCUACAGUUAAGACAGAGAAUUGUGUUCAAAUGAAGAAAGUCCAAAAGACUGAGAAUGGCAUCACUGGAAAGGCCAUGGGGAAUACACCAGAGCUGGAUGCUCGAGAAGAGAA
RNAcentral lists this long non-coding RNA (254 nucleotides) under Zonotrichia albicollis (white-throated sparrow). RNAcentral's name for it is "lncRNA (ENSZALG00000012350.1)". The record is from RNAcentral. Lineage: Eukaryota; Metazoa; Chordata; Aves; Passeriformes; Passerellidae.